AGAGUUGAUCCUGGCUCAGAGUGAACGCUGGCGGCGUGCUUAACACAUGCAAGUCGCACGAGAACGCUUCAGCUUGCUGAAGCUAGUAAAGUGGCGCACGGGUGAGUAACGCGUGGGUAAUCUACCUCCAAAUUGGGGAUAACAUAGCGAAAGCGAUGCUAAUACCGAAUGAUAUCUCAAAAACUUCGGUUUUUGAGAUCAAAGGUGGCCGCUCCAUGGAAGCUACUGUUAGGAGAUGAGCCCGCGUACCAUUAGCUUGUUGGUAGGGUAAUGGCCUACCAAGGCAACGAUGGUUAGCUGGUCUGAGAGGAUGAUCAGCCACACUGGAACUGACACACGGUCCAGACUCCUACGGGAGGCAGCAGUGAGGAAUUUUGCGCAAUGGGGGAAACCCUGACGCAGCAACGCCGCGUGAGUGAUGAAGGCCUUCGGGUCGUAAAGCUCUGUCAAGUGGGAAGAACCUGCCCUGUGCUAAUAUCACCGGGCACUGACGGUACCACUGAAGGAAGCACCGGCUAACUCCGUGCCAGCAGCCGCGGUAACACGGGGGGUGCAAGCGUUAUUCGGAAUCACUGGGCGUAAAGAGCGCGUAGGCGGUCUCUUAAGUCAGAUGUGAAAGCCCGGGGCUCACCCCGGAAGUGCAUUUGAAACGAAGGGACUUGAGUAUGGGAGAGGGAAGUGGAAUUCCUGGUGUAGCGGUGAAUGCGUAGAUAUCAGAGGACACCGGUGGCGAUGGCGACUUCCUGGACAAUACUGACGCUGAGCGCGAAGCGUGGGAGCAACAGGAUAGAUACCUGU
This 798-nucleotide ribosomal RNA is filed under the name uncultured bacterium. Its description in RNAcentral is "bacterial SSU rRNA". It matches the Rfam family "Bacterial small subunit ribosomal RNA", at positions 8 to 789 of the family's 1533-position model. The record is from RNAcentral.